RNAcentral lists this ribosomal RNA (433 nucleotides) under uncultured bacterium. RNAcentral's name for it is "partial 16S ribosomal RNA". It matches the Rfam family "Bacterial small subunit ribosomal RNA", at positions 29 to 507 of the family's 1533-position model. The record is from RNAcentral.
AACGAACGCUGGCGGCAUGCCUAACACAUGCAAGUCGAACGAGACCUUCGGGUCUAGUGGCGCACGGGUGCGUAACGCGUGGGAACCUGCCCUUAGGUUCGGAAUAACUCCCCGAAAGGGGUGCUAAUACCGGAUAAUGUCUUCGGCCCAAAGAUUUAUCGCCUUUGGAUGGGCCCGCGUUGGAUUAGCUAGUUGGUAGGGUAAAAGCCUACCAAGGCGACGAUCCAUAGCUGGUCUGAGAGGAUGAUCAGACACACUGGGACUGAGACACGGCCCAGACUCCUACGGGAGGCAGCAGUGGGGAAUAUUGGACAAUGGGCGAAAGCCUGAUCCAGCAAUGCCGCGUGAGUGAUGAAGGCCUUAGGGUUGUAAAGCUCUUUUACCCGGGAUGAUAAUGACAGUACCGGGAGAAUAAGCUCCGGCUAACUCCGUG